GAUGAAAAAUGUGAAAGAUUUGCGGUCUUCCAUUUUAUUAAUCAAUCUAAUCUACAACAGUUGAAAUCAAAAUAAGCCCAAUUGACAGAAUGGGGCUCAUUCCAACCUUUUGGUUCAUAGGCAAAAGAAAUGGAGCAAAAACGUUGUAAACUACAAAGGAUUUAAACCUACAUCAACUUGAUACAAGAAAGAGAUAAAUCGCCGAUCUUUCACAUUUUUCAUCACGCAGGGACUUUACCUAAGAGUUUGAGGACGGCUUCUUUGGU
Molecule: unclassified non-coding RNA, 266 nt
Filed under: Hevea brasiliensis (rubber tree)
Lineage: Eukaryota; Viridiplantae; Streptophyta; Magnoliopsida; Malpighiales; Euphorbiaceae
Source: RNAcentral